This 474-nucleotide ribosomal RNA is filed under the name uncultured soil bacterium. Its description in RNAcentral is "bacterial SSU rRNA". It matches the Rfam family "Bacterial small subunit ribosomal RNA", at positions 26 to 518 of the family's 1533-position model. The record is from RNAcentral.
AGGACGAACGCUGGCGGCGUGCUUAACACAUGCAAGUCGAGCGGUAAGGCCUUUCGGGGUACACGAGCGGCGAACGGGUGAGUAACACGUGGGUGAUCUGCCCUGCACUUCGGGAUAAGCCUGGGAAACUGGGUCUAAUACCGGAUAUGACCUCCUAUCGCAUGGUGGGUGGUGGAAAGAUUUAUCGGUGCAGGAUGGGCCCGCGGCCUAUCAGCUUGUUGGUGGGGUAAUGGCCUACCAAGGCGACGACGGGUAGCCGACCUGAGAGGGUGACCGGCCACACUGGGACUGAGACACGGCCCAGACUCCUACGGGAGGCAGCAGUGGGGAAUAUUGCACAAUGGGCGAAAGCCUGAUGCAGCGACGCCGCGUGAGGGAUGACGGCCUUCGGGUUGUAAACCUCUUUCAGCGAGGACGAAGCGCAAGUGACGGUACCUGCAGAAGAAGCACCGGCUAACUACGUGCAGCAGCCGC